This 74-nucleotide transfer RNA is filed under the name bacterium. Its description in RNAcentral is "tRNA-Trp". It matches the Rfam family "tRNA". From Rfam's summary of the family: Transfer RNA (tRNA) molecules are approximately 80 nucleotides in length. Their secondary structure includes four short double-helical elements and three loops (D, anti-codon, and T loops). The record is from RNAcentral. RNAcentral also lists the same sequence under 4 other names.
AGGUGAGUAGCUCAAUUGGGUAGAGCACCGGACUCCAAAUCCGGCGGUUGCGGGUUCAAGUCCUGCCUCACCUG